RNAcentral lists this small nuclear RNA (18 nucleotides) under Arabidopsis thaliana (thale cress). Its description in RNAcentral is "snRNA_10867". The record is from RNAcentral. Lineage: Eukaryota; Viridiplantae; Streptophyta; Magnoliopsida; Brassicales; Brassicaceae.
GCUCCGGGCGUCGGCCUG